AUAUAUAUAUAUAUAUAUGAGUUAUAAUGAGAACCUCUUGUAUAAUAGGAACUAGGAACUAAUUAGGGUCGUUGGAUCUAACUUAGAUGCACGCUUGAUGAGCGGCCCAGAUUAAUUCACAAUCAAGCGCACUUUCUGUCAUUUCUCUCUCCUCAAGCGUAGCGAUUACCCUACUUCCUAGCUACCUCCAUUGAAGCGGAUUUCGAGCUUUCUCUACUCCAUUGAAGCGGAUUUUGAGCUUUCUGUACUCCAUUGAAACAGCUUCUGAGGUGCAAUUUGUUUCUUGUGGUGGCAGGAAAUCACAUAGGGAUGAGUGGUUUGAGGUUAAUAACUAAAUAAUCAAUGUCCUCUUCACACUUAUGUAUCUUAAUCUAGGUCUUUACACUUUGCUUUAUUUUCCAAUCAGGUACAAUGUUCUUGUGCUGGGUCUCGUACCUAUGUCCAUGAAAGUAUAUAUCUCAUAAAAGUAAACUAUAUGUAUCUAAAAGUAAACUAAUCCUCUCUUAAAGUAAGCAUAUGCUAGCCUAAUUUGGGUGUGAGUGGAUUUUUAGAAUUGAUUACAGAAGCUCCUAACUCUUCUUUUCAGGAUUGCCUAAGCUGGGUGGCAGAAAGACUAUCAGGGGAUGAGAUUUCAAUGUUUGCAAACUUAUGUUGGUCCUCUUGGACUAGCAGGAAUAACGUCAUUCAUGAGCCGUCAACACACGAUCCUAUAAUGCUAGCUACAAGUUUCACUAGGCUUGGAAGUAUCUCUGGGCUCUAUGUAAGAAAGAUGUGGCUACUGAAGAUACAAUCCGGAGAGCUAUGGGCAUAAUUGGUGAGCAUGAGAAAGCUAUUAUUCAACCUGAUCGCAUGUUGUAUGCUCAUAUAGAUGCUAUACAGUGAUGGGAACCUCCUGAAAUUGGGGUGUUCAAGUUGAAUACCGAUGCAGCCUGCUUUAAGGAUAUUUCAUUUGGUCUGGGGGUGUUAUUCGUGACACUACAGGUGAUGUUCUGCUGGCUACUUGUUGCAGGUUGCAGGGCAAAUUUGCAAUUGAUGUUAGUGAGGCGCUGGCUGCUAGGAAUGCUUUGCAAAUCGCAAUUGAAGCAGGUCUCAAUAGAAUUAUAUUGGAGACGGACAAUGCUACUGUACCAUCAUCUCAAGAGCAACAAACGAGAGAAAUGAGGUUGCUCACAUAUUAACACAUUUGAGUAAAUGUUAUGUUGAGAUGAGCGUGUGGAUCAUAGAGGUGCCCAAUGGUUUAUCGGAUGUAGUGGUUCUUGACAUUUCAAGUCUUCCUUAAUAAAUUUUCUUGUUUGCUUGUGUCCAAAAAAAAAAA
Chenopodium quinoa (quinoa) is the source of this 1315-nucleotide long non-coding RNA. RefSeq lists it as uncharacterized. The record is from RefSeq and is a predicted model, not a curated record. Lineage: Eukaryota; Viridiplantae; Streptophyta; Magnoliopsida; Caryophyllales; Amaranthaceae. The transcript is spliced from 4 exons.